Small nucleolar RNA from Gossypium arboreum, 107 nucleotides. It matches the Rfam family "Plant small nucleolar RNA R71". Rfam says of the family: R71 is a member of the C/D box family of snoRNAs containing the C (UGAUGA) and D (CUGA) box motifs. The record is from Rfam. NCBI's taxonomy places the organism in Eukaryota, Viridiplantae, Streptophyta, Magnoliopsida, Malvales, Malvaceae.
AACCUAUGGUGAAAGCACAUUCUCAAUAAAUCUUUACACCUCUCCCAUGCAUCAUAUAAUGUCUCUAAAUCCAUUUGUACAAAGGAAGAGAUAUCAUUCCUCAAUUU